This 90-nucleotide transfer RNA is filed under the name Kaistella haifensis DSM 19056. RNAcentral's name for it is "Chryseobacterium haifense DSM 19056 tRNA-Ser". It matches the Rfam family "tRNA". Rfam says of the family: Transfer RNA (tRNA) molecules are approximately 80 nucleotides in length. Their secondary structure includes four short double-helical elements and three loops (D, anti-codon, and T loops). Lineage: Bacteria; Pseudomonadati; Bacteroidota; Flavobacteriia; Flavobacteriales; Weeksellaceae. The record is from RNAcentral.
AGAGAGGUGUCCGAGUGGUUGAAGGAGCUAGCCUGGAAAGCUAGUAUACGGGUAACUGUAUCGAGGGUUCGAAUCCCUUCCUCUCUACAA